UUAAGGGAGACCUUACCCAUUCAUACAUCGAGUAUUGUUAUAGAUGAUGAUUGUGGUCAUCCCAAGGUCGUGACGUAGACUUAGGUAAUAACUUAGGCUUUCAAACAAUUAUAGGUUCGGUAAUUAAUUAAUGAAUAUAAGUUAAUUAGUUAAUUAAUUAUCACUUAUGGGCUAUUAGCUCAGGUGGUUAGAGCGCACCCCUGAUAAGGGUGAGGUCCCUGGUUCGAGUCCAGGAUGGCCCACCUGAAAUCAAUUCGCAAUUAACAAUUCGCAAUUCGCAAUUAAUAACUGGGAAUGAGAUGAGGAGAAUUGCAAAUUGUAUAUGGGGGUAUAGCUCAGUUGGUAGAGCGCUGCCUUUGCAAGGCAGAUGUCAGCGGUUCGAGUCCGCUUACCUCCACCAAAUUUUGGUUAAUAGUAAAUGGAAAAUACUUCAGCACCCAGACUUAAAUAUAGGAAUAUGAAAGUCGGAAUGCUGGAUUUUUUAUCCAGUCAGAACCUUGAAAACUGCAUAUUCACGCGAAAUAAUUUAGGUAGUCUUUAAUUACCUGGUGUAAUUAGAGAAAGUAUCUAGAUAUCCUAUUUUGUAAAAGCCAAUGAUUGAAUUGGAAAAUCUUUGU
RNAcentral lists this transfer RNA (617 nucleotides) under Nunduva sp. C1230-K135. RNAcentral's name for it is "16S-23S ribosomal RNA intergenic spacer". The stretch from base 325 to 397 matches the Rfam family "tRNA". Lineage: Bacteria; Bacillati; Cyanobacteriota; Cyanophyceae; Nostocales; Rivulariaceae. The record is from RNAcentral.